Molecule: ribosomal RNA, 502 nt
Filed under: uncultured bacterium
Lineage: Bacteria
Description: bacterial SSU rRNA
Rfam family: Bacterial small subunit ribosomal RNA
Source: RNAcentral
GCAAGUCGAACGGAAGUCGUCAUAAUGAUUCUGAUAUGGAUAUGAAGAUUUAUCAGAUUUGAAAUUGAAGUUGAUUAUGACAGUGGCUUUAGUGGCGGACUGGUGAGUAACGCGUAAGCAAUCUGCCUAUUAGAGGGGAAUAACAGUGAGAAAUCAUUGCUAAUACCGCAUAUGCCAUAGUUAUCACAUGAUAGUAGUGGGAAAGGAGUGAUCCGCUAAUAGAUGAGCUUGCGUCUGAUUAGCUAGUUGGUGGGGUAACGGCCUACCAAGGCGACGAUCAGUAGCCGGACUGAGAGGUUGAACGGCCACAUUGGGACUGAGAUACGGCCCAGACUCCUACGGGAGGCAGCAGUCGGGAAUAUUGCGCAAUGGAGGAAAAACCUCUGACGCAGUGACGCCGCGUAUAGGAUGAAGGUUUUCGGAUUGUAAACUAUUGUCGUUAGGGAAGAUAAAAGACAGUACCUAAGGAGGAAGCUCCGGCUAACUACGUGCCAGCCGCCGC